Molecule: transfer RNA, 73 nt
Filed under: Ornithorhynchus anatinus (platypus)
Lineage: Eukaryota; Metazoa; Chordata; Mammalia; Monotremata; Ornithorhynchidae
Rfam family: tRNA
About the family: Transfer RNA (tRNA) molecules are approximately 80 nucleotides in length. Their secondary structure includes four short double-helical elements and three loops (D, anti-codon, and T loops).
Source: Rfam by way of RNAcentral
AGCAGCGUGGCUCAGUGGAAAGAGCCCGGGUUUGGGGGGUCAGAGGUCAUGGGUUCGAAUCCCGGCUCUGCCA